This 338-nucleotide RNase P RNA is filed under the name Candidatus Shikimatogenerans bostrichidophilus. RNAcentral describes it as "RNase P RNA component class A". It matches the Rfam family "Bacterial RNase P class A". From Rfam's summary of the family: Ribonuclease P (RNase P) is a ubiquitous endoribonuclease, found in archaea, bacteria and eukarya as well as chloroplasts and mitochondria. Its best characterised activity is the generation of mature 5'-ends of tRNAs by cleaving the 5'-leader elements of precursor-tRNAs. The record is from RNAcentral. Lineage: Bacteria; Pseudomonadati; Bacteroidota; Flavobacteriia; Flavobacteriales.
AUAGUUAAUUACUUUAUCGCAUUAAUUAAUAUUUAAUAUUUAUUAAUGAGGAAAGUCCGAACACUAAAGAGAAAUACAAUGGAUAACAUCCAUACAUCGUAAGAUGAUGAAAAGUGCAACAGAAAAUAUAUAUAAUUUAAAUAAUAAUAUAUUAAUUAAAUUAUAGUGAAAUUUUGCAAACUCUGUAUAGUGAAAUGUCAAAAUUACCAUUAAUCUUCUCGAUUAUUAUAAUGGUUGGUAGACAGAUUGAUAUAUAUGGUAACAUAUAUACUAGAUAAAUGAUAAAGAUAUAUAUUAAUUUAUAUAUACAGAAUUCGGCUUAUAUAUUAACUAUUUUU